GGAGGGGUCGCAUAGUGGUCGAGUGCGCCCGCCUCGAAAGCGGGUAGGCCAAAAGCCUCGCGGGUUCGAAUCCCGCCCCCUCCG
This 84-nucleotide transfer RNA is filed under the name Armatimonadota bacterium. Its description in RNAcentral is "tRNA-Ser". It matches the Rfam family "tRNA". From Rfam's summary of the family: Transfer RNA (tRNA) molecules are approximately 80 nucleotides in length. Their secondary structure includes four short double-helical elements and three loops (D, anti-codon, and T loops). Further hydrogen bonds mediate the characteristic L-shaped molecular structure. tRNAs have two regions of fundamental functional importance: the anti-codon, which is responsible for specific mRNA codon recognition, and the 3' end, to which the tRNAs corresponding amino acid is attached (by aminoacyl-tRNA synthetases). tRNAs cope with the degeneracy of the genetic code in two manners: having more than one tRNA (with a specific anti-codon) for a particular amino acid; and 'wobble' base-pairing, i.e. permitting non-standard base-pairing at the 3rd anti-codon position. RNAcentral also lists the same sequence under 2 other names. The record is from RNAcentral. Lineage: Bacteria; Bacillati; Armatimonadota.